This 1381-nucleotide long non-coding RNA is filed under the name Ananas comosus (pineapple). Its description in RNAcentral is "long non-coding RNA (ACOM_LNC018181)". The record is from RNAcentral. Lineage: Eukaryota; Viridiplantae; Streptophyta; Magnoliopsida; Poales; Bromeliaceae.
CGCGAGAGCAAAUAGUGCAAGAAUUUGCACUUGGCAAACUUGCUCUCGGGGACCGGUCCCUGGCGGGAGGGACCGGUUCCCGAACGUUGUCUACGCGAGCUUGCUCUCGGGGACCGGUCCCAGGAGGGAGGGACCGGUUGCCCCGAGGCUGAGGGCUGUGGCAAGCGCGAGGCAACCGGUCCCUAGGCCAGAGGGACCGGUUCCCGAACACGUGAGAUUGAGGAGGUCCCUCUGGGACCGGUCCCAGGCAGGGAGAGACCGGUCCCCGAGCAUGAAAUUUGCCCAGGCAGGCUGGGUCAUGUUGGAGGGGUUGGAGAGCUUGAGGAUAAUGCUCUUUUAUGGAUUAAGAUUCGAGAUGCGCCGGAGUAGGCCAUCUCUCAAUAGAGCAAAGAUCCAAAUGCGAUUGGAGCACUCGCAGUGGGUCGAUGCACCAAUGAUAUUGCUUCUAAGCGAUAUUGGUGAUCGAAUUGGAGUGUGACCCCUAGAGGGAUGGUGAAAGUGACGAAGAGUCGUAAAUGAGAAAUACGAACUCUUGGAUAGCCAAAGUGGCGGAGCGCCGCUUUGUUGACACUCAGGUGAUUCGAGAGGGCUUACCCGUGUGUGCUGUGUCGUGGUGGUGGACCAUAUGACUAUUGGUGCGUUCUUGAUAGCUCCACACCAUGAGGAUAGCGGGUAGUCCCGGUCUCGAAGGAAGUGGUUUGGCCUUAGUGGGCCAGUUAGUGAAUGGUGUUGGAGCGCGUAGAGUCGUUGAGUUUCGACUUGCGCUACCACCCAGAAUGACGGAGACCCGUAAUGCACUUUUGGACUUACACACAGCAAAUGUGAGCGAAUUUAGUCUCACGUCCUCCGUAGUGGGCCUUCGGAUAGUUCCAAUGAGCGAAAGGCCACUCCGAGAUGCAAAAGUGCACUGUACCCCUUGUCACUCAAUAAAGAGAAUUAGGGUGUGAAUUGGGUUUGAGGUGAGUUAGUUUCGAGGACGAAACUCUUAUUAAGGAGGGGAGGAUGUAAGGUAUCGGACUUCUAAAAUCAUGAAGUUACGGUGUACAUUUGGUUGGAAGACCAUUUGAAUGGUUUCGGUGAGGUCCCGGUGAGGUCCGGAAGCAUUCGGGCGUUUUCGGUACGCGUAGGCGCUAAAACGGAGCCGAAAGGCCAUGUUGGGCCGUGAGCCAAAUCCGGCACUAGCAUGGAUGGAAAGAUGAUGAAAACACGCUCGAAAAUAUGUUUGGAGAGUCUCGGUUCGAUUUGAAAAGAAUCGGAGGUCAAACGAGCGAAAACGAGCGAAAACGGAGAAGAAACGGUGAAAAAGCUGAAAAUUUGGCUAAGUCCUUAAAGGCUGGAAUUCUGGACCUACGGGGACCGGUCCCCCAAGUCAAGGGACCGG